UAUACGCCCUUCGGGGGAAAGAAUUUCGGUGAGGGAUCGGCCCGCGUUAGAUUAGUUAGUUGGUGGGGUAAUGGCCUACCAAGACUACGAUCUAUAGCUGGUUUGAGAGGAUGAUCAGCAACACUGGGACUGAGACACGGCCCAGACUCCUACGGGAGGCAGCAGUGGGGAAUCUUAGACAAUGGGGGCAACCCUGAUCUAGCGAUGCCGCGUGAGUGAUGAAGGCCUUAGGGUCGUAAAGCUCUUUCGCCUGUGAUGAUAAUGACAGUAGCAGGUAAAGAAACCCCGGCUAACUCCGUGCCAGCAGCCGCGGUAAUACGGAGGGGGUUAGCGUUGUUCGGAAUUACUGGGCGUAAAGCGCACGUAGGCGGAUUAGUCAGUCAGAGGUGAAAUCCCAGGGCUCAACCCUGGAACUGCCUUUGAUACUGCUAGUCUUGAGUUC
Molecule: ribosomal RNA, 442 nt
Filed under: Celeribacter sp.
Lineage: Bacteria; Pseudomonadati; Pseudomonadota; Alphaproteobacteria; Rhodobacterales; Roseobacteraceae
Description: bacterial SSU rRNA
Rfam family: Bacterial small subunit ribosomal RNA
Source: RNAcentral